CCCAAGAUAUCUGACACUGUCCCUCUUGGCGAUGACAUGUGAUCCAAUCAUCACGUCUCUGCCUACUUCGCUCGGCUCGGCGCUGAACUUGCACUUCAAGUAUUCAGUCUUAGAUCUACUUAUUUUGAAACCUUAGACUCGAGAGUCUGUCUCCAUACCUCUAACAUCUCAAUAACACCGGACCUCGUCUCGUCUAUCAAGACUAUGUCAUCAGCAAAUAGCAUACACCA
RNAcentral lists this long non-coding RNA (230 nucleotides) under Nicotiana benthamiana. RNAcentral describes it as "long non-coding RNA (NBEN_LNC022310)". Lineage: Eukaryota; Viridiplantae; Streptophyta; Magnoliopsida; Solanales; Solanaceae. The record is from RNAcentral.